AGCGCUCCGGGCGCUGGACCGUACUUGGGACUCUAGAGGGCUGCGUCCGGACAGAGAAGCUGGGUGGCGAUCUGUGGGUCACUCCUGGAGGUGUCUCUACCCGGAGCUGGAGAAAUGGGCUCCAAGGCCAGCUUCUCGGACGAGCGCCAGCCUGAGAUGGAAGUUUGCUAGCGCUCUAGACACCGCGCUGACCCGGAGCCGAAUCUUUAUCUUGGCUGGAAAGGCUGAUUUCGACCGCCAAGCGCCAGUCCAACGUGGGCCAGAGAAACCGAGACCUCCUUCACUGUGCUAGGCUCUACAGCAGAUGCAGGAGUCCAUGGUUGCUUUCCAGACUCCACUGCCUCAUCCACACCCCUUUCAGCCAAGAAGUAAAAUGUGGAUCAAGAGACAUCCAGCUGAGAGGACCACAUCUGGUCAUCCUGACCACCCUAGUUGCUGUCAAGGGUCUUCCUGAUGCUCCUUGUGUCUUUGGAAAAAGAUGCUUGAAGAUUUCAAUCAG
Molecule: long non-coding RNA, 499 nt
Filed under: Cricetulus griseus (Chinese hamster)
Lineage: Eukaryota; Metazoa; Chordata; Mammalia; Rodentia; Cricetidae
Description: lncRNA (ENSCGRG00015035067.1)
Source: RNAcentral